UAUGUGUGUGGCUUGACUCUGUGUGUGUGGCUUGACUGUGUGUGAAUAUUGCAUUUUCUUGAUGGUGUGGCUUGUAUAACUUGUGUUCUAUAUGUCACGAUUGAUUGUUGUUUGUUGAAUGUGAACAGACCUAACACUAUUCUUUUUUCUGAACUUUUUUGUGAUUAUGUCUUAUGUGGAUAUCACUCUUUUUUGUAUUACUGCUGUCUCACGCUUUUCUAAGUAUUUAAGGUGCAGACAUGUGGAUCUGGACAUGUCACAUUUGCUCUUUAUUGUGUUGCUAAGGACACUGAUGGGUUGGUUUUGCAUACAACGCAGUAUGGACCAACAAAAUGAUCUCAUUGCAAGGCGGACAUAUAGGCAACCAAUGUCAAGAGAGGUGGCAUAAUCAUCUGAAUCCAGACAUACAAAGAGAUGCUUGGACUAUUGAGAGGAGGAACAUGCACUGAUUAACGUCCAUCGGGUACAUGGGAAUAAAUUGGCAGAAAGAGCAAAAGUUCUUCUUAGAAGCUAAAGUCAAAGACGACGAACCAAGUGAAUUAAUGG
This is a long non-coding RNA of Triticum dicoccoides, 546 nucleotides long. RefSeq lists it as uncharacterized. The transcript has 4 exons. The record is from RefSeq and is a predicted model, not a curated record. NCBI's taxonomy places the organism in Eukaryota, Viridiplantae, Streptophyta, Magnoliopsida, Poales, Poaceae.